RNAcentral lists this long non-coding RNA (822 nucleotides) under Brassica napus (rape). Its description in RNAcentral is "long non-coding RNA (BNAP_LNC019713)". The record is from RNAcentral. Lineage: Eukaryota; Viridiplantae; Streptophyta; Magnoliopsida; Brassicales; Brassicaceae.
AUUUUACAUUAUUUCUUUGAUCCAUCGAAAUAAAUUCUGACAAAAAAAAAUAUACAGAGAAGCAAAAUAACAGGAAAAAGAAAAUGAUGAACUUUCAGAAGAAAAAAAAUAGUUAACAAAAUUAAUCAUGAGGAUUUCUUCAGUUGUGAUUCUUCUUUUUCCUUUUUUUUUUCUCGUUCUCUUUAUCUGUAUUCAUCUUGGAUUUCCGUUGGUAGCGUGAAGCUGAAUCAGUUCAAUAGACUAGAUUCAGUGAAGAAUUCUCCAUCAGCCACAUUAUAUAACUGCAUAUGUGCUUCUCUCAAACUCCUUUCAAUGAAUCUUUUUCUUUGUCUGCUAUAACUCAGAUUCUGCAAAACAAUAAUAAAAGAUUGAUCAUUUUAUAAUUGUGUUACAAUAAAACGUAUUGAAACAAACACAGAUUCCCCAUUUGAGAAUGACUUCUUAUCGUUACUUUUAUCACUUGCUAACGUAAAUGAAUAUAACUUGUUUUCAGAAAGAACUGAUAUGAAGAGAAUCAAAGUUAAUGUUUGUACAUUUAUACAUAAUUCAAAAACAUCAAUGAAGCACAAACACAAUUAUAAGAUCCAAAUUAAAAGAAAAACUGUGAACUUAUCUUAGUCAAAGUGACAAAGGCAGAUCACCGUCUUGGUAUUGCUAGGUGAUGAACCACAUGUUUCACCGUGAACAUGUUUUUUAUACAGAGAGAGUGAGAGAGAAAAAAUAUAGCUUAUCAUGAAAAUAAAAAUGGGUUUAAAUGAUGAUUGAGCAGUUAGAGAAACAUGAUAGAGAACGUGAAGAGGGAGAAAUUCUAGGGAUAUUUUC